GCCCUGAUAGCUCAGUCGGUAAAGGAGGGGAUUUAAAUUCCCCCUUUCCUUGGUACGAUUACGAUUCCGGGCACCA
Molecule: transfer RNA, 76 nt
Filed under: Klebsiella pneumoniae
Lineage: Bacteria; Pseudomonadati; Pseudomonadota; Gammaproteobacteria; Enterobacterales; Enterobacteriaceae
Description: tRNA-Leu
Source: RNAcentral